This 254-nucleotide ribosomal RNA is filed under the name uncultured bacterium. RNAcentral's name for it is "partial 16S ribosomal RNA". It matches the Rfam family "Bacterial small subunit ribosomal RNA", at positions 524 to 777 of the family's 1533-position model. The record is from RNAcentral.
UACGAAGGGGGCUAGCGUUGCUCGGAAUCACUGGGCGUAAAGGGUGCGUAGGCGGGUUAUUAAGUCAGAGGUGAAAUCCUGGAGCUCAACUCCAGAACUGCCUUUGAUACUGAUAGUCUUGAGUAUGGGAGAGGUGAGUGGAAUUCCCAGUGUAGAGGUGAAAUUCGUAGAUAUUGGGAAGAACACCAGUGGCGAAGGCGGCUCACUGGCCCGUAACUGACGCUGAGGUGCGAAAGCGUGGGGAGCAAACAGGG